RNAcentral lists this transfer RNA (72 nucleotides) under Camelus bactrianus (Bactrian camel). It matches the Rfam family "tRNA". From Rfam's summary of the family: Transfer RNA (tRNA) molecules are approximately 80 nucleotides in length. Their secondary structure includes four short double-helical elements and three loops (D, anti-codon, and T loops). Further hydrogen bonds mediate the characteristic L-shaped molecular structure. tRNAs have two regions of fundamental functional importance: the anti-codon, which is responsible for specific mRNA codon recognition, and the 3' end, to which the tRNAs corresponding amino acid is attached (by aminoacyl-tRNA synthetases). tRNAs cope with the degeneracy of the genetic code in two manners: having more than one tRNA (with a specific anti-codon) for a particular amino acid; and 'wobble' base-pairing, i.e. permitting non-standard base-pairing at the 3rd anti-codon position. The record is from Rfam by way of RNAcentral. Lineage: Eukaryota; Metazoa; Chordata; Mammalia; Artiodactyla; Camelidae. RNAcentral also lists the same sequence under 2 other names.
GAGGGUAUAGCUCAACGGUAGAGUAUGUGCUUAGCAUGCAAGAGGUCCUGGGUCCAAUCCCCAGUACACCUA